CCUUUGUAUACACCGCCCGUCGCUACUACCGAUUGAAUGGCUCAGUGAGGCUUCCGGACUGACCCAGAGAGGUCGGCAACGACCACUCAGGGCCGGAAAGUUACCCAAACUCGGUCAUUUAGAGG
Molecule: ribosomal RNA, 125 nt
Filed under: Cryptendoxyla hypophloia
Lineage: Eukaryota; Fungi; Ascomycota; Sordariomycetes; Cephalothecales; Cephalothecaceae
Description: partial small subunit ribosomal RNA
Rfam family: Eukaryotic small subunit ribosomal RNA
Source: RNAcentral